RNAcentral lists this ribosomal RNA (624 nucleotides) under Triticum aestivum (bread wheat). RNAcentral's name for it is "partial small subunit ribosomal RNA". Lineage: Eukaryota; Viridiplantae; Streptophyta; Magnoliopsida; Poales; Poaceae. The record is from RNAcentral.
AUGCCGCCGCCCAUGGCGCUCUCCGUCUCCGUCUCCGUCUCCUCCUCCGCCGCGGCCUUCGCCCCGCGCCACCGCCUCCCCGCGCCCCGUAGCCUCACCCGCGCCGCCCGCGCCUUCUCCACGGGCUACGCCGCGAGCUUCUACGGAGGCGCGGCGUCCGCGACCCGCACCCGCGGCCGCGACGAGGAGGAGGUCGGGGACGAGGACGGGUCGUCGUCGGGGUUCGGCGGGAUGUCGGCCUCGGAGGCGGCGAUGGCGCUGGAGGAGCGCGAGAUGCCGCCCUGCCCGCCCGGCCUCCGCCAGUACGAGACCAUGGUCGUGCUCCGCCCCGACAUGUCCGAGGAGGAGCGCCUGGCCCUCAUCCAGCGCUACGAGGAGCUGCUCGUGGCCGGGGGUGCCAUGUACGUGGAGGUGUUCAACAGAGGGGUCAUCCCACUGGCCUACAGCAUCAGGAAGAGGAACAGCAGGACCGGGCUGCCCUUCACCUACUACGAUGGCAUCUACCUCCUCUGGACCUACUUCACCAAGCCCGAGUCGGUGGACACCCUGCAGAUGAAGCUCAACGCUGAUGACGACGUCAUCCGCUCGACCAGCUUCAAGGUCCGCAAGAGGAGAGUCUACUAG